This 446-nucleotide unclassified non-coding RNA is filed under the name Hevea brasiliensis (rubber tree). The record is from RNAcentral. Lineage: Eukaryota; Viridiplantae; Streptophyta; Magnoliopsida; Malpighiales; Euphorbiaceae.
GUUUCUGGUGUUUUGGCGGUGAUGACUUUAGGAAUGUUUUAUUCUGCAGCUGCUAGGACUGCUUUCAAGGGUGAUGGCCAACAGAGCUUGCAUCACUUUUGGGAAAUGGUUGCGUACAUUGCAAAUACAUUAAUUUUCAUCUUGAGUGGUGUUGUUAUAGCUGAAAGCGUUCUUAGCAGUGACAAUAUUUUUCAUAACCAUGGAAAUUCAUGGGGCUACCUAUUUCUUCUAUAUGUUUUUGUGCAAGUAUCCCGGUUUAUAGUUGUUGGAGUAUUGUAUCCAUUUUUACGAUAUUUUGGCUAUGGUUUAGAUUGGAAGGAAGCUGCUAUUCUCAUAUGGUCAGGUUUGCGCGGAGCUGUUGCACUAUCACUCUCACUAUCUGUUAAGCGCACUAGUGACAGCUCAACAUAUCUCACUCCGGAAACCGGAACUCUGUUUGUUUUCUU